This 128-nucleotide ribosomal RNA is filed under the name Dehalococcoidia bacterium. RNAcentral's name for it is "partial 23S ribosomal RNA". It matches the Rfam family "Bacterial large subunit ribosomal RNA", at positions 2801 to 2925 of the family's 2925-position model. Lineage: Bacteria; Bacillati; Chloroflexota; Dehalococcoidia. The record is from RNAcentral.
AAGAUGAGGCCUCCCACCGGGUUAACCGGGUAAGGCCGCAGGGAGACUACCUGCUCGAUAGGCCGGAGGUGUAAGCCCCGCAAGGGGUUGAGCUGACCGGUACUAAUGGCCGAGGGCUUGGCCCCGCC